Molecule: ribosomal RNA, 440 nt
Filed under: uncultured bacterium
Lineage: Bacteria
Description: bacterial SSU rRNA
Rfam family: Bacterial small subunit ribosomal RNA
Source: RNAcentral
UGGCUCAGAACGACGCUGGCGGCAGGCCUAACACAUGCAAGUCGAGCGAACCCUUCGGGGUUAGCGGCGGACGGGUUAGUAACGCGUGGGAAUAUACCCUUUGGUACGGAAUAGCCUCGGGAAACUGAGAGUAAUACCGUAUGUGCCCUUCGGGGGAAAGAUUUAUCGCCAAAGGAUUAGCCCGCGUUGGAUUAGAUAGUUGGUGGGGUAAUGGCCUACCAAGUCUACGAUCCAUAGCUGGUUUGAGAGGAUGAUCAGCAACACUGGGACUGAGACACGGCCCAGACUCCUACGGGAGGCAGCAGUGGGGAAUCUUAGACAAUGGGCGCAAGCCUGAUCUAGCCAUGCCGCGUGGACGAUGAAGGCCUUAGGGUUGUAAAGUCCUUUCAGAUGGGAAGAUAAUGACGGUACCAUCAGAAGAAGCCCCGGCUAACUCCGUG